This 463-nucleotide ribosomal RNA is filed under the name uncultured bacterium. Its description in RNAcentral is "bacterial SSU rRNA". It matches the Rfam family "Bacterial small subunit ribosomal RNA", at positions 338 to 795 of the family's 1533-position model. The record is from RNAcentral.
CCUACGGGGGGCUGCAGUCGAGAGGCUUCGUCAAUGGGGGCAACCCUGAACGAGCGACGCCGCGUGUGGGAUUGAAGGCCUUCGGGUCGUAAACCACUGUCAAGCGGGAAGAAUACCCUGGUGGCGAACCAGGGGGAGACGGUACCGCUGGAGGAAGCCCCGGCUAACUCCGUGCCAGCAGCCGCGGUAAUACGGAGGGGGCAAGCGUUGUUCGGAUUUACUGGGCGUAAAGGGUGUGUAGGCGGUUGCGCAAGUCUGGUGUGAAAUCUUCACCGCUCAACGGGAAGAGGUCACUGGAAACUGCGUAACUCGAGUAUGGAAGAGGCAAGCGGAAUUCCUGGUGUAGCGGUGGAAUGCGUAGAUAUCAGGAAGAACACCGGUGGCGAAGGCGGCUUGCUGGGCCAUCACUGACGCUGAGACACGAAAGCGUGGGGAGCAAACGGGAUUAGAUACCCUUGUAGUC